AGAAUCAACGCUGGCGGCGUGCCUAACACAUGCAAGUCGAACGAGAAAGUGGAGCAAUCCAUGAGUAAAGUGGCGAACGGGUGAGUAACACGUGACUAACCUACCCUUGAGUGGGGGAUAACCUAGGGAAACCUGGGCUAAUACCGCAUAAUAUCGAGAGAUCAAAGGUAGCAAUUCGCUUAAGGAGGGGUUCGCGGCUGAUUAGCUAGUUGGUGAGGUAAUGGCUCACCAAGGCUAUGAUCAGUAUCCGGCCUGAGAGGGCGCACGGACACACUGGAACUGAAACACGGUCCAGACUCCUACGGGAGGCAGCAGUGGGGAAUUUUGCGCGAAUGGGGGAAACCCUGACGCAGCAACGCCGCGUGGAGGAUGAAGUCCCUUGGACGUAAACUCCUUUCGAUCGGGACGAUAAUGACGGUACCGGAAGAAGAAGCCCGGCUAACUUCGCGCCAGCAGCCGC
RNAcentral lists this ribosomal RNA (460 nucleotides) under uncultured bacterium. RNAcentral's name for it is "SSU rRNA". It matches the Rfam family "Bacterial small subunit ribosomal RNA", at positions 26 to 518 of the family's 1533-position model. The record is from RNAcentral.